Molecule: ribosomal RNA, 497 nt
Filed under: uncultured bacterium
Lineage: Bacteria
Description: partial 16S ribosomal RNA
Rfam family: Bacterial small subunit ribosomal RNA
Source: RNAcentral
GACGAACGCUGGCGGCGUGCUUAAUACAUGCAAGUCGAGCGCAGAAGGCUGGUACUUGUACCAACUGGAUGAGCAGCGCACGGGUGAGUAACGCGUGGGGAAUCUGCCUUUGAGCGGGGGACAACAUUUGGAAACGAAUGCUAAUACCGCAUAAAAACUUUAAACACAAGUUUUAAGUUUGAAAGAUGCAAUUGCAUCAUUCAAAGACGAUUCCGCGUUGUAUUAGCUAGGUGGUGAGGUAAAGGAGCAGCAAGGCGUUGAUACGUAGCCGAACUGAGAGGGUGAGCAGCCGCAUUGAGAGGGUGACACGGCACAAACUCAUACAGAUAGCGGCAGUAGGGAAACUUGAGCAAGAGGCGGAGAACAGAGCGAGCUGCGCCGCAUGAGGAAGGAGGGUCUUCGGGUCGUAGAACUCGGUUGGUAGGGAAGAACGUUGGUGAGAGUGGAAAGCACAGCGAGUGACGGUAACGGGCAAGAAAGCAACGGCUAACUACGUG